CCUACGGGAGGCAGCAGUGAGGAAUAUUGGUCAAUGGGCGCGAGCCUGAACCAGCCAAGUAGCGUGAAGGAUGACUGCUCUACGGGUUGUAAACUUCUUUUAUAAAGGAAUAAAGUGAGGCACGUUUGCCUUUUUGUAUGUACUUAAUGAGUAAGGAUCGGCUAAGUCCGUGCCAGCGGCCGCGGUAAUACGGAGGUUGCGGGCGUUAUCCGGAUUUAUUGGGUUUAAAGGGAGCGUAGAUGGGUUGUUAAGUCAGUAGUGAAAGUUUGCGGCUCAACCGUAGACUUGCAAUUGAUACUGGCAGUCUUGAGUACAGUUGAGGUAAGCGGAAUUCGUGGUGUAGCGGUGAAAUGCUUAGAUAUCACGAAGAACUCCGAUUGCGAAGGCAGCUUACUAAACUGCCACUGACAUUGAUGCUCGAAAGUGUGGGUAUCAAACAGGAUUAGAUACCCUUGUAGUC
Molecule: ribosomal RNA, 460 nt
Filed under: uncultured bacterium
Lineage: Bacteria
Description: partial 16S ribosomal RNA
Rfam family: Bacterial small subunit ribosomal RNA
Source: RNAcentral